GAUGAACGCUGGCGGCGUGCUUAACACAUGCAAGUCGAACGAUGAAGCCCAGCUUGCUGGGUCGAUUAGUGGCGAACGGGUGAGUAACACGUGAGCAACCUGCCCCUGACUCUGGGAUAAGCGCUGGAAACGGCGUCUAAUACUGGAUAUGUCCCGUCACCGCAUGGUGUGCGGGUGGAAAGAUUUUUCGGUUGGGGAUGGGCUCGCGGCCUAUCAGCUUGUUGGUGAGGUAAUGGCUCACCAAGGCGUCGACGGGUAGCCGGCCUGAGAGGGUGACCGGCCACACUGGGACUGAGACACGGCCCAGACUCCUACGGGAGGCAGCAGUGGGGAAUAUUGCACAAUGGGCGGAAGCCUGAUGCAGCAACGCCGCGUGAGGGAUGACGGCCUUCGGGUUGUAAACCUCUUUUAGCAGGGAAGAAGCGAAAGUGACGGUACCUGCAGAAAAAGCACCGGCUAACUACGUG
This 467-nucleotide ribosomal RNA is filed under the name uncultured bacterium. Its description in RNAcentral is "partial 16S ribosomal RNA". It matches the Rfam family "Bacterial small subunit ribosomal RNA", at positions 28 to 507 of the family's 1533-position model. The record is from RNAcentral.